This 497-nucleotide ribosomal RNA is filed under the name uncultured bacterium. RNAcentral describes it as "partial 16S ribosomal RNA". It matches the Rfam family "Bacterial small subunit ribosomal RNA", at positions 28 to 507 of the family's 1533-position model. The record is from RNAcentral.
GAUGAACGCUGGCGGCGUGCCUAAUACAUGCAAGUCGAGCGAACAGACGAGGAGCUUGCUCCUCUGACGUUAGCGGCGGACGGGUGAGUAACACGUGGAUAACCUACCUAUAAGACUGGGAUAACUUCGGGAAACCGGAGCUAAUACCGGAUAAUAUAUUGAACCGCAUGGUUCAAUAGUGAAAGACGGUUUUGCUGUCACUUAUAGAUGGAUCCGCGCCGCAUUAGCUAGUUGGUAAGGUAACGGCUUACCAAGGCAACGAUGCGUAGCCGACCUGAGAGGGUGAUCGGCCACACUGGAACUGAGACACGGUCCAGACUCCUACGGGAGGCAGCAGUAGGGAAUCUUCCGCAAUGGGCGAAAGCUGGACGGAGCAACGCCGCGUGAGUGAUGAAGGUCUUCGGAUCGUAAAACUCUGUUAUUAGGGAAGAACAAAUGUGUAAGUAACUAUGCACGUCUUGACGGUACCUAAUCAGAAAGCCACGGCUAACUACGUG